UACGUAGGGUGAAAGCGUUAAUCGGAAUUACUGGGCGUAAAGUGUGCGCAGGCGGCCGCGCAAGUCGAGUGUGAAAUCCCCGAGCUUAACUUGGGAAUUGCGCUCGAAACUACGUGGCUGGAGUGUGGCAGAGGAAGGUGGAAUUCCACGUGUAGCGGUGAAAUGCGUAGAGAUGUGGAGGAACACCGAUGGCGAAGGCAGCCUUCUGGGCCAACACUGACGCUCAUGCACGAAAUCGUGGGGAGCAAACAGG
This 253-nucleotide ribosomal RNA is filed under the name uncultured bacterium. RNAcentral's name for it is "partial 16S ribosomal RNA". It matches the Rfam family "Bacterial small subunit ribosomal RNA", at positions 524 to 776 of the family's 1533-position model. The record is from RNAcentral.